This 1472-nucleotide long non-coding RNA is filed under the name Cyanistes caeruleus (blue tit). RNAcentral's name for it is "lncRNA (ENSCCEG00000007136.1)". The record is from RNAcentral. Lineage: Eukaryota; Metazoa; Chordata; Aves; Passeriformes; Paridae.
CAUCCCUAAACAACAAGCCCACUGACAGCUGUUUUGGUUUCUUACUGAACUCUGCCCAUUGGCCUCUAGUGGGAGAUGAGCUGUGUAGCAAAGGCCCCAAGUGCUGCUCAAACACCUGAAUGUGUGCUCUGACGAGCUGGCAGUGACUGCAGCUGCCACAGUGGAGGUGGCAGGCUGAGUUUGGGAUCUCCCAAGCUAGACAAACAUGAACAAAAGAUAGUAGUCGGUAGCUGUGGCCCAUUCUUCAGGGGAGCAUGUAGAGCAUGGUACAGUAAAAUUAGCAUCCCCUCUAGUCUUGGUUGUUUUUUUCUCCUCUGUGCUAAACAUGCCCCUCUGUGAGAGGAAUGAUCUGUUGGGGUGAACAUCUCGUAAGAUGUUGUCAUCCAACAGAACCUGUGAGGAGCUCAGGUGCUCUUCCCCUUGUUUUGUCCCUCAGAGGACAGGGCUGGCAAUGCUCCCUCUGGAUAUUGAAGGCCAAGCUUGAGUGAAAUUGUGGACACAUUCCUGAAGCAUAGGGCACAUCGAAAUCAAGCACAGCCUAUUCAACAGUGGCAGCCCAUUUCAUUCCUCUGCAAUCUCUCACCUUCAUUCUAAUGUUCUCUUUUUUUCAGUUUAUGGCGAAGUCACAUAUAGCUCAGAAGACUCUUCUGAGAUUGAUGUUGUCACUGUCAGUGACGAUGAGUCUGCUCUGCAAAAGCGCCCUGGAGAGGCGCUUCAUUCAGGUCCAGCAGAGAAACAGAGCAGGCUGCUGACCUCCAGAGCAGGUGAAAGUCUGCAGACAGCGCCAAGAGACCUCGAGGAAAGAGGUUCACCUGCUUUGGAGCCUGGUAAGAACAGAAACUGCUGCUGGACGGUUGGAGAUCAUUGGAACAUGUGCUUUUGUCAGUUCCUAGGCCCUUUCCUGGGGAGAAAGGGAACCUUGGGGUUGAGGAAGGUGGGCUUGAUGCCUGCUAUGGCAUCCCUAAACAACAAGCCCACUGACAGCUGUUUUGGUUUCUUACUGAACUCUGCCCAUUGGCCUCUAGUGGGAGAUGAGCUGUGUAGCAAAGGCCCCAGGUGCUGCUCAAACACCUGAAUGUGUGCUCUGACGAGCUGGCAGUGACUGCAGCUGCCACAGUGGAGGUGGCAGGCUGAGUUUGGGAUCUCCCAAGCUAGACAAACAUGAACAAAAGAUAGUAGUCGGUAGCUGUGGCCCAUUCUUCAGGGGAACAUGUACAGCAUGGUAUAGUAAAAUUAGCAUCCCCUCUAGUCUUGGUUGUUUUUUUCUCCUCUGUGCUAAACAUGCCCCUCUGUGAGAGGAAUGAUCUGUUGGGGUGAACAUCUCGUAAGAUGUUGUCAUCCAACAGAACCUGUGAGGAGCUCAGGUGCUCAUCCCCUUGUUUUGCCCCUCCGAGGACAGGGCUGGCAGUGCUCCCUCUGGAUAUUGAAGGCCAAGCUUGAGUGAAAUUGUGGACACAUUCCUGAAGCGUAGG